RNAcentral lists this long non-coding RNA (227 nucleotides) under Nicotiana benthamiana. RNAcentral's name for it is "long non-coding RNA (NBEN_LNC013598)". Lineage: Eukaryota; Viridiplantae; Streptophyta; Magnoliopsida; Solanales; Solanaceae. The record is from RNAcentral.
CCCACUUUCAGUCUCAAAACCCUGUAAAACAGGAGGAUUUACAAAGAAGUGUUCUUUCGACAACUUCCCUAAGCGAGGAUACAAGGCCUUCUGAAGAGGAAAAUGGAGAUUCAAGCCUAAGUUGAAGCUUUUGCACUAGGACAAAGUGCGAGCAAGCUCUGAUCAAUCAAAAUUCAAAGAUCAUUUUAGUAACUCAAAACUUUAUAUGGCUUUUCGUGAAAUCAAAU